Molecule: long non-coding RNA, 2684 nt
Filed under: Homo sapiens (human)
Lineage: Eukaryota; Metazoa; Chordata; Mammalia; Primates; Hominidae
Description: HSALNT0210481
Source: RNAcentral
UACAGACAGGGCCUCAUUAUGUUGCCCAGGCUGGUUUUGAACUCCUGGGCUCAAGUGAUCCUCCCACGUAGGCCUCCCAAAGUGCUGAGAUUAUAGACAUGAGCCACCACACCUGGCAGGUGUUACCGUGAGAAAAUAUCUUGAACUUCUACUCUGUACUUCACCAUACAAGAAUUGAGCCUGGUGUUUUCUUUAAAUUAUUUUAUGAUUACUUAAAGCCAUUCUUUAUAAAUUUUGCACCUCUGCUGGUCAGGUGGCCUAACUUUGGAAGACUCAGACCUUCAUCUGUGACAGUUCUAUAGUCACAGUCGCUAUGCCUUCUCAGGUCCUGGCUGCUGUAUUAUUACAUUGAUUCUCAAAGUUGUACAAGAGAAUAUCAAAAGACACCAAAGUGGAUUAAGAUUAGUUACUGUUAAAAAUAUUCCUCCUGCUUUACGUUCUACAAGAGCUCUACCUUUUUCCGAAGUUCAGAUCAAUUAUCCCUAUCAGGAUAGUGACUUCUCUUCAAGUCACUUGGGAAAAGUCCCCUGAAGUACACUGGAAGAAGCCAUAACUUAAGUUCAUUGAAAUUUUUGCAGUGUCCCAGAGUCGAUGUAUUCUACCUUUGUCGACCAGAACUUCUCCAUCAUACAGUCCAAACUUGUGGGUCUGGAAAGCACAAACUCUGUAAAUGAGAAACUGGUGAUGAUGUUAAGUAAGUUAUUUAUAUUUUAAGUCCCUGAUUUUAGACUCAUGUAUUUUACCUACUCGGAAAAAAUCAUAUUAUGGUUGUUGAUUUAGAAUACACAUCCUAAAAAGUGACAUCCCAUCUUUGUAUGGUCUCAUGUCUGAGCUAGGCAUCCCACUGAAAUCUUUAACUUAACAUGCCAUUGUUCCACUACGCACCACCCAGCAGCUAAUUGGUCUCCACGCAGAAUGGUGCUAUUAGGGGGACUCAGUGAUUGUCUUGUAUGUAUGGACAUCAUGCAGUAACAGGAGAUAAAUUUGUGUUGGAGACAGGGAACCCAUGCUACUGAAUUUAUGCAUAGUCUUCCUUACAUCACCAUGGUUACCAUGUCUACAUGCACCUCAUGCUCACACUUGGGUUGCGUGAUGGUUAAUAUUGAGUGUCAACUUGAUUGGAUUGAAGGAUGCAAAGCAUCGUUCCUAGGUGUGUCUGUGAGGGUAUUGCCAAAGGAGAUUAACAUUUGAGUCCGUGGACUGAGAAAGCCAGAUCCACAAUCAAUCCGGGUGGGGACAAUCUAAUCAGCUGCCAGCAUGGCCAGAAUAAAAGCAGACAGAAACACGUGGAAAGACCAGACUGGCUAAGCCUUCUGGCCUCCAUCUUUCUUCCAUGCUGGAUGCUUUCUGCCCUUGAACAUCAGACUCCAAGUUCUUCAGCUUUUGGAUUCUUGGACUCACACCAGUGAUUUGCCAGGGGCUCUUGGGCCUUCCACCACAGACUGAAGGCUGCACUAUCAGCUUCCCUACUUUUGAGGUUUUGGGACUCGGACUGGCUUCCUGGCUCCUCAGCUUGAAGACAACCAAUGGUGGGACUUCACCUUGUGAUCCUGUGAGUCAUUUCUCCUAAUAAAUUCCCCUUCAUAUAGACACUAUCCUAUUAGUUCUGUCCAUCUAGAGAACCCCGACAAACAUGGGUUGCUAUCAACUGGACAAAUCAUUGCCAACUAAGUUUUUUAGUGCUUCAGCACUUCUACCAUAGUUAGUGUGCACUAAUGAAUGCAAACAUUUGUAUUACCUAAUACAUGGUCUGGUACAGCAUCCUCAGAUGUGAACUAUGCUGCCUCCUGUAUCCAAAAAGGACUACCAAAUGUUGUACUUCCAUCUUAUUGCAGUGCAGUAAGAAAUAUUUUGUCCUUUAUUUUGUAGAUGUCCCAUCAUGCCCUCAACCACAAAACACCUAAAUUUUACGGUUAUAAUCGCUGUCAGUGGUUGUACGUUGAUAUUCUAUUGUUCCAGCACCAUUCUUUUCCUAUUAAAUUACACUGGCAAAUUUGAUUAAAAAAAACAACUGACUAUAUAUGCUUGUAAACAUUUCCAGAUUAUGUUAUUCUUUUAAUCUAAAUAUGUGUCCUUAUGCCAAUACCCCACUCCAUCUAUUACUGCAGUGUAUGAUAAGUCUUGAAAUCUAGUAGUGUAAGUUCUUCAACGUUGCCCUUAAUUUUUAAAAUCACUCUUGCUAUUUAAAAUUGUUUGUAUUACAUGGAAAUUUUAUAAUCAGCUUGCCAAUUUCUACAAAAGUCCUGCUGAGAUUUUAAUUGGUAUUUUGCUUGUUCUGCAGCUUAAUGCAAGAAAAUUAUCUUAACAAUAUUGAAUUUUUCAAUCUAUUAACAUGUUAUAUAUUACUGUUUACUUAGGAUUUUUUCACUUUUCCUGCCUUGUUUUGAACUGAUAUUGUGGUUUUAAGUAAUUUUUUUUAUUUCUACUAUUGGCUUAGUAACUAUGCCCCACUUUUUGAUUUUGUAGCACAGUUGACCAUUGAACAACACAAGUUUGAAUUGUGCAUGUCCAAUUGUCUAUGGAUAUUUUUCAAUAAAAGUUACACUGAGUGCAUCAGCCUCUCUCCUUCUUCUCCUUCUACCUCCUCCAACUGUUCCACCUCUGCCACCCCAAAACAGCAAGAACAACCCCUCCCUUCCUCCUCCUCCUCCUCAGCCUACUCAAGGUGAAGCUGAUAAGGUAAG